Long non-coding RNA from Octopus bimaculoides (California two-spot octopus), 625 nucleotides. RefSeq lists it as uncharacterized. Lineage: Eukaryota; Metazoa; Mollusca; Cephalopoda; Octopoda; Octopodidae. The record is from RefSeq and is a predicted model, not a curated record.
GUGAAGUCCUUCACAUGACAAAAGGAAUUUUUCUCGCGACCGAAAGACAGCAUGUGACGAGAAGAAUUCGAGCAACGACCGACUGAUUCACCAGGCACAAACAAAAACGGCCCCAUCAUAGAAACUUCCAAUCCAACGUAGACGAUAAGAAGGUAUGCCGUUCUCAUCGCCUCAACCGUUAAACACUAUAAUUCUGAGGUUGAAUACAGGAUACUGUACGUUGAACGAUAUUGCGCAGUAAUCUCAGAUUACUGGAAGCUGAAUCAGAAGUCUGACCACCUCAUGAUCCCAGCCGAUAAAAUAGAAGAGGCGUUGCCCCGGAUGAUACCAAGAGAAAUGCGCUGGAACAGCCACUGUGACUCACGGAAUUCGCACUUGCGGACAGCCAUCUCCGCCCCAAGAGCGGUGAGCAGGGAUAUGGCCUCCAAAAAAUAUCACAAAACUGUUACUUAGAGUUUCGAACAGGAACGUGAAACUCUGAGUAACAGUUUUUGUGAUAUUUUUGGUGCUUUUUAAUAAAGUAUUUAUACAUGCAUAAAUACACAUACUCAUACAUAUUGUUAUAUUUCGGGAAGGUCAUUUUUUUCUUGCCGAAUAAACUCACGCAUUGAAUAUUCGUACUUCA